Molecule: ribosomal RNA, 466 nt
Filed under: uncultured bacterium
Lineage: Bacteria
Description: partial 16S ribosomal RNA
Rfam family: Bacterial small subunit ribosomal RNA
Source: RNAcentral
GACGAACGCUGGCGGCGUGCUUAACACAUGCAAGUCGAACGGAAAGGCCCUGCUUGCAGGGUACUCGAGUGGCGAACGGGUGAGUAACACGUGGGUGAUCUGCCCUGCACUUCGGGAUAAGCUUGGGAAACUGGGUCUAAUACCGGAUAGGAACCAUCUUUAGUGUGGUGGUUGGAAAGUUUUUUCGGUGUAGGAUGAGCUCGCGGCCUAUCAGCUUGUUGGUGGGGUAAUGGCCUACCAAGGCGGCGACGGGUAGCCGGCCUGAGAGGGUGUACGGCCACAUUGGGACUGAGAUACGGCCCAGACUCCUACGGGAGGCAGCAAUGGGGAAUAUUGCACAAUGGGCGCAAGCCUGAUGCAGCGACGCCGCGUGGGGGAUGAAGGCCUUCGGGUUGUAAACUCCUGUCGCUAGGGACGAAGCUUUGUUGUGACGGUACCUAGAGAAGAAGCACCGGCUAACUACGUG